UUCUUCCGUCUGUGAGUUUCUAGCUCCUCCUAACAGCAAGAGGAAUCUGUCUCUGGUGAAGGCUGCCGAAGGCGGGGGCAAGAAGCUCUCAGAGAGCAACUACCUUGAAGAACCUUCCCUGAAGAACAAGCUCGUUCUCUCCCAAAUUGGAAAAUCCUCACAGGGUGCCAAUUAGUCCAGAGGGCACUUGGAACUUAACCAGCCUAAAAGCUAACGACUCUUAAAGGGAAAGCGAGCAAGGAGCAAAGGCAACCUUCGGGGCCCCUUGGCAGCAGGCAGACAGCUUUUAAAGAAAAAGCACAGGGUAAUAAUGAGCUGUUACCCUGGGGGAACACUCUGGAAUAUAAUGUUAAAAUCUAUCAUCAAUUCAAGUUAAACGCAGUCCUUUUUCCUCCAAAAGAGUACAGAUUUCAUUGCCAAGUUCUACACCCAUCUCCUUUACCCUGGAAGUGAAAUAUCUAUUCUGAAAAAGACGUAACAUCAGAAACCUCCUGAAGUCCAUACGUAAAUGGGUGAACAGCAACUGACUGGAGUAGUCCAGAGGUAUGCAGACCGGCAGGAGGAAGCUGGCUCGCCCUGUGCGAUCUCAAAACUAGAUGGCCGCCCCUCAGCUCGCUGGAGAGACGGCUGCGCAAGUACCUGAAGCUUCAGUCCAGGGAUGGUGGCCUUCCAAAGAGGAUAUUGUCUGUUUACCUUACAACUGCCAACAAUAAACCAAGCCGCUCUUUGCUGGCCAGUUGAGAGCUGUUUAUAAGGCACCGUCCAAGUGAUGACAGAAUCUGGCAGCUCCUCAUACAUCAGUCCAAGGCGAAAAGAAGCUCCCUGCUUGUGAGUGUGUGCGCACACCUGUGUGCACACGCGAGGGUGUAGUGGAUGCAUCCCUCCAUCAUCUCCCUCAGCCCAUGGAUAGCCACUCAGUCAACAUACGACCUGAGGGAAAACAGUAAGUUCGCUCCGCAGGCGCAGGAAUGGCACAGUCUCACUGCCCAUCGCUGCACCCAAAGCUUCUUCCAAACUGAAACUCUGGAGCUGCCGGUGCUGGACGACACGCCCCCACCUUAUAGCAAGCACUUGUGACUCAGCUUUACAGAGCCCAGAGCUUGGUUCUCCCUCCCCAAAAAUGUCAAGGAAAGACAAUUUCUCCCUUCUUCCCGCAGCACGAAUUGUUCCUUCAGGACAAAUUGUUAAGAGGAAAGUAGCACUAUAUUCAUUUAAGGUAAAGAGUAAAGGACCGGGAGCCUGGCUUAACUCUCUCGGAGGAUUUGCUUUUUAAAAGGAGAACUUCUAGGCCCAAAGGAAUGAAGUGCUAAUAGCAGAAUUUCGGUAGAGACUUCGAAACACGCCCAAGCCCAAAGAACCCGUAAGACCAGUCCAGACAGUGCCUGCGCGCAUAAUCCACUGCCCGUGGCUUCCCUCUCGGAAGCAUUUAGUCUGGAACAAAAGCUGAC
Long non-coding RNA from Equus quagga, 1448 nucleotides. RefSeq lists it as uncharacterized. The record is from RefSeq and is a predicted model, not a curated record. Lineage: Eukaryota; Metazoa; Chordata; Mammalia; Perissodactyla; Equidae. The transcript is spliced from 4 exons.